RNAcentral lists this long non-coding RNA (624 nucleotides) under Mus spretus (western wild mouse). Its description in RNAcentral is "predicted gene, 27002 (ENSMSPG00010026537.1)". Lineage: Eukaryota; Metazoa; Chordata; Mammalia; Rodentia; Muridae. The record is from RNAcentral.
GGACCAGCCUGCUGUGUGACGACACGUUGUCCUUGCACCCAUCCGGCACCAGAGCCCGGCUUCUCCAUCUGGGUCCCCAUCACUGGAACAUCACCAUUGAACCUACCUCCACAUGGCAGAAUAAGAGCCCCUACCUAGGGCAGUGCCUGCAGAGGCAAGUGGAUCAUCUCGCUCUGGAAGAGACUCCACAGAGAACUGUUUGUUACAUGUGCAGGAGCCUCCAACUGCUGCCCUGCAUCAGGGCAAAGGAGCCACAGCUGGGCAAGAACUCAACCGAGGAAGUGGGCAUAUCUGCCUACGGCAUGCUCCUGCCCAGAGCAGGCACCCUCCUGCUGCACAGAAAGUCCUUCUGCCUAAAAACCAUGGCCUACUUAUGGCGAACUAGACUCAAGUGUCAAAGAGGCGCUUCCAGAAGACAGUGCUCACCUGUGCUAAGCGUGGAGCGGACAAUGGGGAAUCACUGCUGUGAGCGCCUGGAGUUCAUUGCUGUUGCUUUGUGUGGAUGAAGAUCGAAGGUGUCAGCAUACAGGGCACCAGGAGAGAAGCAGGCGUCACCGCAGAGGGAUGGCAGGGUGUGGUGAGCCCCUCUCCCUGGCUGUGGAGACGUGUACUUAGAUCAAUGAC